This is a long non-coding RNA of Phyllostomus discolor (pale spear-nosed bat), 497 nucleotides long. RefSeq lists it as uncharacterized. The transcript is spliced from 3 exons. Lineage: Eukaryota; Metazoa; Chordata; Mammalia; Chiroptera; Phyllostomidae. The record is from RefSeq and is a predicted model, not a curated record.
UAAGUAAAAAGCUCUUACCUACUAAAAGUUCAAAUGAGACAGCGAGACAAACGAGUGCAGACACAAAGGGCUGGGACGGAAGUACAUAAUGGAGUGAACCGAAAGCUUUCAUGUAAGAGAUGACACCAAGGGGGUCAGUGGGAAGCCAGAAGACAGAUCUUAGUUAAGGCUUACCCGAAACCGCCCUGGAGGAAGGUACCACUGUAGGUGAAGAAUGCAUCAGUGACUAGCUUCCAGUUCCUCUCUGACAAAACCAGACCUUGUGAUACUGUGGAGAUCCAGAGAGAUUGCAGAUGUGAAGGCCUGAGGAUGGCGUGCCUGCGGUGGUCAAGGCCUGAUGCAGUGAAUCAUGUUCCUGCUGGUAAGACGAAGAAGCAUUACAUUAUUGGAGACUGCUCUGAGUGCAGUGACAGGAGAAAGGAAACGAUUUGGUUCUUUACAAGGUGACCAAUUUUCAGAUAAUGAGAGCACAGUGAAACACACUCAGUAUUACAGUA